RNAcentral lists this ribosomal RNA (253 nucleotides) under uncultured bacterium. Its description in RNAcentral is "partial 16S ribosomal RNA". It matches the Rfam family "Bacterial small subunit ribosomal RNA", at positions 524 to 776 of the family's 1533-position model. The record is from RNAcentral.
UACAGAGGGUGCUAGCGUUGUUCGGAAUCACUGGGCGUAAAGCGUGUGUAGGCGGUAGUGUGUGUCAUGUGUGAAAGCCCUCGGCUCAACCAAGGAAGUGCACGUGAAACUACAUUACUAGAGUACGAAAGAGGAGGAUGGAAUUCCCGGUGUAGAGGUGAAAUUCGUAGAUAUCGGGAGGAACACCAGUGGCGAAGGCGGUCCUCUGGUUCGAUACUGACGCUGAGACACGAAAGCGUGGGUAGCAAACAGG